This 292-nucleotide ribosomal RNA is filed under the name uncultured bacterium. RNAcentral's name for it is "partial 16S ribosomal RNA". The record is from RNAcentral.
GGACUACCGGGGUAUCUAAUCCGGUUCGCUCCCCACGCUUUCGCACCUCAGUGUCGGUCGUGGCCCAGCAGGCCGCCUUCGCCACUGGUAUUCCUCCCGAUCUCUACGCAUUUCACCGCUCCACCGGGAAUUCUACCUGCCUCUGCCAGACCCUAGUCCCCCAGUCUUCGACGACCCCUCCAAGUUGAGCCUGGAGAUUUCACGCCGAACUUGACGGACCACCUACGCGCGCUUUACGCCCAGUAAUUCCGGACAACGCUCGCCCCCUACGUAUUACCGCGGCUGCUGGCAC